Molecule: long non-coding RNA, 391 nt
Filed under: Manihot esculenta (cassava)
Lineage: Eukaryota; Viridiplantae; Streptophyta; Magnoliopsida; Malpighiales; Euphorbiaceae
Description: long non-coding RNA (MESC_LNC010943)
Source: RNAcentral
GAAAAGUGAUUGGGUCAGAGUGAUUUGGCCAAAUCACUCGCAGAGACUGGCCAAAUCACUCGCAGAGACAGAAAAACUGGACUGACUCACAGAAAGCGAUUGGGGCAAGUGAUUUGCCCAAAUCACCCGCCCCAAUCACAUUGACAGCAGAGCGGGAAAAAGGGAAAAAUCAUAUUUAAAAAGAGUAGAAGCCCAAAAACACUUCAAACACUGCCAGCUCAAAUCCAAAAGCCACAAGGAUGUCCUUCUACCAAGAGAAUUCCAUCUACAACAAAAUACAAGAAGAGAAAGAGGAAUCAAAGACCACAAAGACCAAGUCAAAAUAGGGAUUCCAAACCCUAAUUGAACUUGGACUCUCCAGCUAUAAAAAGGCAGCCUCCAAACCAGCAAA